GGGCACUCUAGUGAGACUGCCGGUGACAAACCGGAGGAAGGUGGGGAUGACGUCAAGUCCUCAUGGCCCUUAUGGGUAGGGCUUCACACGUCAUACAAUGGUCGGUACAGAGGGUUGCCAAACCGCGAGGUGGAGCCAAUCCCUUAAAGCCGAUCGUAGUCCGGAUCGUAGUCUGCAACUCGACUACGUGAAGUCGGAAUCGCUAGUAAUCGCAGAUCAGCAUGCUGCGGUGAAUACCGGUUCCCGGGUCUU
RNAcentral lists this ribosomal RNA (252 nucleotides) under uncultured Thauera sp. RNAcentral describes it as "partial 16S ribosomal RNA". It matches the Rfam family "Bacterial small subunit ribosomal RNA", at positions 1133 to 1382 of the family's 1533-position model. The record is from RNAcentral. Lineage: Bacteria; Pseudomonadati; Pseudomonadota; Betaproteobacteria; Rhodocyclales; Zoogloeaceae.